RNAcentral lists this ribosomal RNA (497 nucleotides) under uncultured bacterium. RNAcentral's name for it is "partial 16S ribosomal RNA". It matches the Rfam family "Bacterial small subunit ribosomal RNA", at positions 28 to 507 of the family's 1533-position model. The record is from RNAcentral.
GAUGAACGCUGGCGGCGUGCCUAAUACAUGCAAGUCGAGCGAACAGAUAAGGAGCUUGCUCCUUUGACGUUAGCGGCGGACGGGUGAGUAACACGUGGGUAACCUACCUAUAAGACUGGAAUAACUCCGGGAAACCGGGGCUAAUGCCGGAUAACAUUUAGAACCGCAGGGUUCUAAAGGGAAAGAUGGUUUUGCUAUCACUUAUAGAUGGACCCGCGCCGUAUUAGCUAGUUGGUAAGGGAACGGCUUACCAAGGCAACGAUACGUAGCCGACCUGAGAGGGUGACCGGCCACCCUGGAACUGAGACACGGUCCAGACUCCUACGGGAGGCAGCAGUAGGGAAUCUUCCGCAAUGGGCGAAAGCCUGACGGAGCAACGCCGCGUGAGUGAUGAAGGUCUUCGGAUCGUAAAACUCUGUUAUUAGGGAAGAACAAAUGUGUAAGUAACUGUGCACGUCUUGACGGUACCUAAUCAGAAAGCCACGGCUAACUACGUG